RNAcentral lists this ribosomal RNA (405 nucleotides) under uncultured bacterium. Its description in RNAcentral is "bacterial SSU rRNA". It matches the Rfam family "Bacterial small subunit ribosomal RNA", at positions 354 to 776 of the family's 1533-position model. The record is from RNAcentral.
GUGGGGAAUAUUGGACAAUGGGGGCAACCCUGAUCCAGCCAUGCCGCGUGAGUGAUGAAGGCCUUCGGGUUGUAAAGCUCUUUUGGCGGGGACGAUGAUGACGGUACCCGCAGAAUAAGCCCCGGCUAACUUCGUGCCAGCAGCCGCGGUAAGACGAAGGGGGCUAGCGUUGUUCGGAAUUACUGGGCGUAAAGCGAGUGUAGGUGGUUGUCCAAGUUGGAUGUGAAAGCCUUGAGCUCAACUCAAGAAAUGCAUUCAGGACUGGAUGGCUAGAGGACCGGAGAGGAUAGUGGAAUUCCCAGUGUAGUGGUGAAAUACGUAGAGAUUGGGAAGAACACCAGUGGCGAAGGCGGCUAUCUGGACGGUUUCUGACACUAAGACUCGAAAGCGUGGGGAGCAAACAGG